RNAcentral lists this ribosomal RNA (406 nucleotides) under uncultured bacterium. Its description in RNAcentral is "partial 16S ribosomal RNA". It matches the Rfam family "Bacterial small subunit ribosomal RNA", at positions 30 to 526 of the family's 1533-position model. The record is from RNAcentral.
AUUGAACGCUGGCGGCAGGCCUAACACAUGCAAGUCGAACGAGUGGCGGACGGGUGAGUAAUGUCUGGGAAACUGCCCGAUGGUGGGGGGUAACUACUGGAAACGGUAGCUAAUACCGCAUACCAUCGGAUGUGCCCAGGUGGGAUUAGCUAGUAGGUGGGGUAACGGGUCACCUAGGCGACGAUCCCUAGCUGGUCUGAGCGGAUGACCAGCGACACUGGAACUGAGACACGGUACAGACUCCUAAGGGAGGAAACAGUGGGGAAUAUUGCACAAUGGGGGAAAUCCUGAUGCAGGCAUGCAGGGUGUAUGAAGAAGGCCGUCGGGUUGUAAAGUACUUUCAGCGAGGAGGCGUUACUCGCAGAAGAAGCACCGGCUAACUCCGUGCCAGCAGCCGCGGUAAUAC